AAUCUACCUCUGACUCGGGGAUAACGUUGCGAAAGCGAUGCUAAUACCGGAUGACAUCAAUAAAACUUUGGUUUUUUUGAUCAAAGGUGACCUCUACAUGUAAGCUUCCGAUUAGAGAUGAACCCGCGUACCAUUAGCUUGUUGGUGGGGUAACGGCCUACCAAGGCUGCGAUGGUUAGCUGGUCUGAGAGGAUGAUCAGCCACACUGGAACUGACACACGGUCCAG
Molecule: ribosomal RNA, 227 nt
Filed under: uncultured bacterium
Lineage: Bacteria
Description: partial 16S ribosomal RNA
Rfam family: Bacterial small subunit ribosomal RNA
Source: RNAcentral